CUCCCAAACUGACAGGCUCCACUUUUUCUUCAUCUUUGGAAGCAGUUGAUGGAUUAUCAACUGUCAUAUUAUGCUCUUUGGCAGUAGCUGUGAUAUCCACCUGGAAAGCCAAAAUUAUAAUGCUAAGUAGAGAUAUACAACAGAUUUUCCAUCUUUUGUAACAGAUAAGUCUUAUGUUGCAUCAGAUGGAUUAUCUGUUGGGACAAAUUCGAACAGGUAAAUCAGAGCAGUACGAUAAUUUUGACUAGAUGACCCAUCUGUUGCUACAUAAGACUCAUCUGUUGAAAUAGAUAACGAAUCUGAUGCAAUAGGUUAGACAACAGUUGCAACAGAUGUAUAUAUCUGUUUGAUAAUUUUUAGCAGAGGUAUCAUCUGUUGAAACAGAUAUCUGUCUGUUUGUUUUUUGGAACAGAUGAUGUACAUUCACCUUCUUUAGCUCAUGCUGCUCUUCUGUGGCCCUUGCACACUGAACAUCGGUGCAAGAUAAAGACAGAGGCAUUGCAAUCUUGCUUUUUUUGAUGAUUGAUAAUGUCUUGAAAGUGUCUUUCCUUCUCCUCUUAGCCGCCUUGAUCUCUAGUAGAGUGUAUGGAUAUGCAAUCCUCUUUCAUGGAAUGACACCCUUCUUAGAUGUCAUUUUCUUUACAGAAGCAGUUAGUGCAUUAAUAACAUUAAUCACUCAAUUGUGUUUCGCCUUGCAGUCUUGACAUUUGCAUGAAGAACAUUCGCUAGAUGCUGCAAAAUCUAGAGAAAAAUUUGUACAACCAUUAUGAUCAUAAUGAUAAUGGCUUGUUGUUUCAAAAACUGUAAAAGAAGCAUCAUUAGCCCCACCCUUUAAAAUUAUUUUUUUUGUGAUGGCUGUUGCUCCAAACAAUUCCAUUUUUAUUCCAUCAACGACCUUAGGGUCCGAUAAAGUUUGCACAGACCGUAAAGUAAGAAAAAAUAGCAUCUUCAACUUUCGGUUGGUCGGAACGAGCCACGGAUGGACAAUCUAAAAUAAAUUGGUACAUAUAUUAAGAAUGAUGAUGAAAUCAUUUAAUCAUUAAUUAAAACAAAAACUUGAUUAGAAUUAGACUUACUGCUUCCUUGGGGGGGUUGAAAAGACCAAGAAAUUUUGCAUUUUUAUCCGUUUUGGCCGACAACUAUCUCAGAAUUCUUGGACAGGAAACUUCUUCCUAGUAGUUCACUUGUUGUCUGAAAUAAGGAAUGGUUUCAAAUGCCCAAGCCUAUAACAUAAAGUCAAUAAAUCAAAAGCAUUAUCGAAUAAAAAAAUGAUAAAUCAUAUCAUGAUAAAAGAAAUAUUUACCAUGAAGGCCCAUGAAAAACCAUAUAAGUUGACUAUUUUUGGCGUUAACGGAGUCAACAAAUAUUCGACAGUCAUUUUGAAGCUUUCAUAACCCCAAAGAUAGCUGUUAAUGCCUCAAGAUCCUCGAAGAGAUUUAUUAAACAGAGGAUUAUGCUGUUGUUAACGUCUCUCGCCCAAAGAACAUUAUGUACAAAUCAAACCAAGCAUAAUGAUUGCUUGUGCUUCUUUGAAAGUCCUUUACCUUUCAACGCUUCUAUCAG
This 1563-nucleotide long non-coding RNA is filed under the name Capsicum annuum. Its description in RNAcentral is "long non-coding RNA (CANN_LNC006056)". The record is from RNAcentral. Lineage: Eukaryota; Viridiplantae; Streptophyta; Magnoliopsida; Solanales; Solanaceae.